RNAcentral lists this ribosomal RNA (466 nucleotides) under uncultured bacterium. Its description in RNAcentral is "bacterial SSU rRNA". It matches the Rfam family "Bacterial small subunit ribosomal RNA", at positions 46 to 525 of the family's 1533-position model. The record is from RNAcentral.
GGAUUAGGCAUGCAAGUCGCGCGAGAAUUCCCGCAAGGGAAGGACAGCGGCGAAAGGGAGAGUAACGCGUGGAUAUCUGCCCUCAGACCCGGGAUAGCUGCGGGAAACUGCAGGUAAUACCGGAUAAUGUCUCCGGACCAAAGGUGUGAUUCCGUCUGAGGAUGAGUCCGCGUCCUAUUAGCUAGUUGGCGGGGUAAUGGCCCACCAAGGCGAUGAUGGGUACUGGGUGUGAGAGCACGACCCAGCUCACUGGGACUGAGACACUGCCCAGACACCUACGGGUGGCUGCAGUCGAGAAUCUUCGGCAAUGGACGCAAGUCUGACCGAGCGACGCCGCGUGCGGGAUGAAGGCCUUCGGGUUGUAAACCGCUGUCGUAGGGGAGGAAAUUCCGGAGGGUACUUCCUCCGGAUUGACUGAUCCUAGGAGGAAGGACCGGCUAAUCUCGUGCCAGCAGCCGCGGUAAUA